This is a long non-coding RNA of Aedes aegypti (yellow fever mosquito), 82 nucleotides long. RefSeq lists it as uncharacterized. The record is from RefSeq and is a predicted model, not a curated record. Lineage: Eukaryota; Metazoa; Arthropoda; Insecta; Diptera; Culicidae. The transcript is spliced from 2 exons.
CCAAGCUCCCUGUCCAAGUCGCUUCAUUCGGGUGCCCUGGUGGUCCCUCCCAACCCAGUUAUAUAUGAUAAAAAAAGAUAAA